Molecule: ribosomal RNA, 496 nt
Filed under: uncultured bacterium
Lineage: Bacteria
Description: bacterial SSU rRNA
Rfam family: Bacterial small subunit ribosomal RNA
Source: RNAcentral
AGAGUUUGAUCCUGGCUCAGGAUGAACGCUAGCGGCAGGCCUAAUACAUGCAAGUCGGACGCUCAGUAGCAAUACUGGGAGUGGCGCACGGGUGCGUAACGCGUACACAAUCUACCUCUAAGCGAGGGACACCUCCUGGAAACGGGGAUUAAUACCGCAUAAUAUGCCGAAGUCGCAUGACUUUGGUAUUAAAGCAGCAAUGCACUUAGAGAUGAGUGUGCGUCCCAUUAGGUAGUUGGUGAGGUAACGGCUCACCAAGCCUAUGAUGGGUAGCCGGUCUGAGAGGAUGGUCGGCCACACGGGCACUGAGACACGGGCCCGACUCCUACGGGAGGCAGCAGUAAGGAAUAUUGGUCAAUGGUGGAAACACUGAACCAGCCAUGCCGCGUGGAGGAAUAAGGUCCUACGGAUUGUAAACUCCUUUUGACGAGGAAGAAAAUGUUAGAUUUAUCUAAUUUUGACGGUACUCGUAGAAUAAGCACCGGCUAACUCCGUG